UACGUAGGGUGCGAGCGUUAAUCGGAAUUACUGGGCGUAAAGCGUGCGCAGGCGGCCGAGCAAGUCGAGUGUGAAAGCCCCGAGCUUAACUUGGGAACUGCGCUCGAAACUACUUGGCUAGAGUGUGGCAGAGGGAGGUGGAAUUCCACGUGUAGCGGUGAAAUGCGUAGAGAUCGGGAGGAACACCAGAGGCGAAGGCGGCGACCUGGAGAGUCACUGACACUCAACUGCGAAAGCGUGGGGAGCAAACAGG
RNAcentral lists this ribosomal RNA (253 nucleotides) under uncultured bacterium. Its description in RNAcentral is "partial 16S ribosomal RNA". It matches the Rfam family "Bacterial small subunit ribosomal RNA", at positions 524 to 776 of the family's 1533-position model. The record is from RNAcentral.